GUUCUUUUAGUAUUAACUAGUACAAGUGACUUCCACUCACUAAGUCUUAAUUUAACUUAAGAAAGAA
Molecule: transfer RNA, 67 nt
Filed under: Sceloporus grammicus (Graphic spiny lizard)
Lineage: Eukaryota; Metazoa; Chordata; Lepidosauria; Squamata; Phrynosomatidae
Description: tRNA-Gly
Source: RNAcentral